RNAcentral lists this long non-coding RNA (580 nucleotides) under Brassica napus (rape). RNAcentral's name for it is "long non-coding RNA (BNAP_LNC017221)". Lineage: Eukaryota; Viridiplantae; Streptophyta; Magnoliopsida; Brassicales; Brassicaceae. The record is from RNAcentral.
UAAAAUUUCAUUAUCCGGAUCCGUAUCCGGAUCCGCCGAAUCCGUAAAAUCAAGAUCCGGAUCUGGAUACGGACCCCCCAGAUAUCCGUUUUUUUGGAUCGGAUCCGAGAAAAUCCUGGAUCGGAUAACGGAUCUCGGAUAUAAGUUUCAGACCUAGUUUUUGUUAUUUGUAGCAGUGUUGUGUCUAGAUCCGCCACCGGCCCAGUUGCAAAAAAAAAAUGAUAGUUGAAAUGACGAAAAUCAAUCAGCAUCGUAAUGGUGAACUGGUAACACUGUCACGAGCUAUACACAUGGGCGCCUCCUUCUACGCGUCUUCCCUUCGAUGAUCAUGACAGCUCUUUCUUUCUUUUUAACUCCGACAGCCCUAUUUCAGUACAAUAGUUUUCUUUUCUUUUUCGUUAUAAAUAAUUUAAUAACAUAAAAAUUUUGGCAACGUUUUUUCGUCAACUAAAAUUUGAACCAUUUUUCGAUUUAUGCGUAUCAUCGUUUUAAAAUUAGUAACGUUCUAAAAUUCAAACUAAUUCAAACUAAUCUGACGAGCGAAGCAGACUCAGCCGCGAACCAGAUUAUAUACCACAAC